ACUCAAAGGAAUUGACGGGGGCUCACACAAGCGGUGGAGCAUGUGGCUUAAUUCGAGGCAACGCGAAGAACCUGACCUGGGUUUGACAUGCUGGGAUUAGCACUGUGAAAGCAGUGUGACGCGGCUUGCCGUGGAACCAGCACAGGUGCUGCAUGGCUGUCGUCAGCUCGUGUCGUGAGAUGUCAGGUUAAGUCCUCUAACGAGCGAAACCCUUGUCGUUAGUUGCCAGCGGGUAAUGCCGGGCACUUUAACGAGACUGCCGGUGUCAAACCGGAGGAAGGCGGGGACGACGUCAAGUCAUCAUGGCCCUUAAGUCCAGGGCUGCACACGUGCUACAAUGGGAUGGCACAGAGCGAUGCCAAGCCGCGAGGCGGAGCAAAUCGCAGAAAACAUCCCUCAGUUCAGAUUGCAGGCUGCAACUCGCCUGCAUGAAGCUGGAAUCGCUAGUAAUCGCGUAUCAGCUAUGACGCGGUGAAUAUGUUCCUGAGCCUUGCACACACCGCCCGU
This 507-nucleotide ribosomal RNA is filed under the name uncultured bacterium. RNAcentral's name for it is "partial 16S ribosomal RNA". It matches the Rfam family "Bacterial small subunit ribosomal RNA", at positions 899 to 1397 of the family's 1533-position model. The record is from RNAcentral.